RNAcentral lists this transfer RNA (58 nucleotides) under Dipodomys ordii (Ord's kangaroo rat). It matches the Rfam family "tRNA", at positions 8 to 63 of the family's 71-position model. Rfam says of the family: Transfer RNA (tRNA) molecules are approximately 80 nucleotides in length. Their secondary structure includes four short double-helical elements and three loops (D, anti-codon, and T loops). Further hydrogen bonds mediate the characteristic L-shaped molecular structure. tRNAs have two regions of fundamental functional importance: the anti-codon, which is responsible for specific mRNA codon recognition, and the 3' end, to which the tRNAs corresponding amino acid is attached (by aminoacyl-tRNA synthetases). tRNAs cope with the degeneracy of the genetic code in two manners: having more than one tRNA (with a specific anti-codon) for a particular amino acid; and 'wobble' base-pairing, i.e. permitting non-standard base-pairing at the 3rd anti-codon position. Lineage: Eukaryota; Metazoa; Chordata; Mammalia; Rodentia; Heteromyidae. The record is from Rfam by way of RNAcentral.
UGGCUCAAUGGUAGAGCACUUGCCUUUCAUGCAUGAGGCCCUGGGUUCGAUUCCUCAG